RNAcentral lists this ribosomal RNA (253 nucleotides) under uncultured bacterium. RNAcentral's name for it is "partial 16S ribosomal RNA". It matches the Rfam family "Bacterial small subunit ribosomal RNA", at positions 524 to 776 of the family's 1533-position model. The record is from RNAcentral.
UACGUAGGGUGCAAGCGUUAAUCGGAAUUACUGGGCGUAAAGCGUGCGCAGGCGGUUUUGUAAGUCUGUCGUGAAAGCCCCGGGCUCAACCUGGGAAUUGCGAUGGAGACUGCAAGGCUUGAAUCUGGCAGAGGGGGGUAGAAUUCCACGUGUAGCAGUGAAAUGCGUAGAGAUGUGGAGGAACACCGAUGGCGAAGGCAGCCCCCUGGGCCAACACUGACGCUCAUGCACGAAAGCGUGGGGAGCAAACAGG